RNAcentral lists this unclassified non-coding RNA (278 nucleotides) under fungal sp. Its description in RNAcentral is "partial internal transcribed spacer region". The stretch from base 1 to 46 matches the Rfam family "Eukaryotic small subunit ribosomal RNA", at positions 1786 to 1831 of the family's 1831-position model. Lineage: Eukaryota; Fungi. The record is from RNAcentral.
AAGUCGUAACAAGGUUUCCGUAGGUGAACCUGCGGAAGGAUCAUCACCGAUUCAAUACCACAAUCAACGAGCUGCCCUGGGAUUCCUCAGGUAGUUUCGUCCAACUUGUGCACUGGUCUCUGUUUUAAAGUGGAGGAUGCUUGGUUUGCGAAAACAAGGCAAUGCCUCUCACACUUACUGUUAAACCACAAACAUGUCUAAUACAUCUAGCCUGAUUGUUGUAACAUAGCUAAUUAAUAGCAUCAAUACAACUUGCAGUGAUGGAUCUCUUGGCUCCG